This 465-nucleotide ribosomal RNA is filed under the name uncultured bacterium. RNAcentral describes it as "bacterial SSU rRNA". It matches the Rfam family "Bacterial small subunit ribosomal RNA", at positions 338 to 795 of the family's 1533-position model. The record is from RNAcentral.
CCUACGGGAUGCAGCAGUGGGGAAUAUUGCACAAUGGGCGCAAGCCUGAUGCAGCCAUGCCGCGUGUGUGAAGAAGGCCUUCGGGUUGUAAAGCACUUUCAGCGGGGAGGAAGGCGGUGAGGUUAAUAACCUCACCGAUUAACGUUACCCGCAGAAGAAGCACCGGCUAACUCCGUGCCAGCAGCCGCGGUAAUACGGAGGGUGCAAGCGUUAAUCGGAAUUACUGGGCGUAAAGCGCACGCAGGCGGUCUGUCAAGUCGGAUGUGAAAUCCCCGGGCUCAACCUGGGAACUGCAUUCGAAACUGGCAGGCUAGAGUCUUGUAGAGGGGGGUAGAAUUCCAGGUGUAGCGGUGAAAUGCGUAGAGAUCUGGAGGAAUACCGGUGGCGAAGGCGGCCCCCUGGACAAAGACUGACGCUCAGGUGCGAAAGCGUGGGGAGCAAACAGGAUUAGAUACCCCUGUAGUC